GAGUUUGAUCCUGGCUCAAAACGAACGCCGGCGGCGUGCUUAACACAUGCAAGUCGAACGCGAACGUUUCCUUCGGGGAACUAGUAGAGUGGCGCACGGGUGAGUAACGCGUAAGUAACCUACCCUCGCAUUCGGGAUAACCCACCGAAAGGUGUGCUAAUACCGGAUACGUCUCAUUUAAUAUCUUUUGAUGAGAGAAAGGUGGCCUCUGAUUCAAGCUACUGUGCGGGGAGGGGCUUGCGUACCAUUAGCUAGUUGGUAGGGUAAGGGCCUACCAAGGCGAUGAUGGUUAGCGGGUCUGAGAGGAUGAUCCGCCACACUGGAACUGGAACACGGACCAGACUCCUACGGGAGGCAGCAGUGAGGAAUAUUGCGCAAUGGGGGCAACCCUGACGCAGCGACGCCGCGUGGAUGAUGAAGGCCUUCGGGUUGUAAAAUCCUGUCAGAUGGGAAGAAAUGGCGCUUAGUAAAUACCUGAGUGUCUUGACGGUACCAUCAAAGGAAGCACCGGCUAACUCCGUGCCAGCAGCCGCGGUAAUACGGAGGGUGCAAGCGUUGUUCGGAAUUACUGGGCGUAAAGCGCGCGUAGGCGGCUCUAUAAGUCAGAUGUGAAAGCCCGCGGCUCAACCGUGGAAGUGCAUUUGAAACUGUAUGGCUUGAGUACUGGAGGGGGUAGUGGAAUUCCCGGUGUAGAGGUGAAAUUCGUAGAUAUCGGGAGGAAUACCGGUGGCGAAGGCGACUGCCUGGCCAGAUACUGACGCUGAGGUGCGAAAGCUUGGGGAGCAAACAGGAUUAGAUACCCUGGUAGUC
This 810-nucleotide ribosomal RNA is filed under the name uncultured delta proteobacterium. RNAcentral's name for it is "bacterial SSU rRNA". It matches the Rfam family "Bacterial small subunit ribosomal RNA", at positions 9 to 795 of the family's 1533-position model. Lineage: Bacteria; Deltaproteobacteria. The record is from RNAcentral.